CCUGAACCUGAAACUACACGAAAGGCUCAACUCUAACCCAAAGUCUCGAUGCACUUUGGUGUCUGAUUGCAUCAAUAAGAUUACACCGGGAUCAGGAAACGUCUUUCUUGAAGCAAUUGUUUACCUUAAAGAUGAAGUAAGAGCAGAUUUCCGAAAGACUGGCAAGUGCAACUUGCAAGUAGCAAACAGCAUUUUUAUAUCAGGCCCUUCAAUGUUGGCCUUACCCAAAAACAGUCCCUACACCAAAAGUAUCGACCGCGGAUUAUUGGAGUUGCAACAAACUGGACUGCUCGACUACUGGGACCUGUGGUUCCGCCCCAUGCCCCCUCAAUGUACGGGAAAUGUCCAAAGUGGGAAAUCGAUACCGAAAAACAAACUUGCUCCACUUUCCUUAAAAAAUUUGACCGGCGCUUUUCUCGUCAUUGCCGUUGGAUUCGGCCUUUCCUUUUUGGCAUUUCUCUGCGAAAAAAUCAUUUCCAUGCCUGAGCGCCACCGCACCCAAACGAAAAACAAUAG
Long non-coding RNA from Daphnia pulex (common water flea), 516 nucleotides. RefSeq lists it as uncharacterized. Lineage: Eukaryota; Metazoa; Arthropoda; Branchiopoda; Diplostraca; Daphniidae. The transcript has 3 exons. The record is from RefSeq and is a predicted model, not a curated record.